AGCGCUCCAAUGUUGAUGGAGAAGUAGAACCAGUUGAAGAAGGAAGCUUUCUUAACUCGUUCGCGAGAGUCCGUGUCAUCGAACUGGUCUGCACCGAAGGAUGAGACGCAUGGUUUGAUGCCUCCAGUGCCGAGGGCGAUCAGGUAAAGCCCACCAAAGAACAUUGCGUACUGUGCUGGUGUUGCUGAUGGACAGAAAGUGCCAAUGCAUUCCGCUGGCUUUAGUGCCGGAACUGACGCUGAGAGAGUUAGCGCAGACAUGCCCUAAACAAAAAACAGAGCAAAGAAAACCAAAACUCAAACUUCAAAUCAAUUGUGUGAUAAGACACAACCAUUGAAAAGGUGCUUACGAUGAAGUAAAUGCCGGAGAAACAAGCGAUGGUCCAGUAUCUGCCCCAGUAAGCAUCGGCUAAGACAGCACCAAUGAGCGGGGUGAGAUAACAAGUCCCCUGCCAUGUGGUGACGUUUCUAGCAGCGGAAACGUUUCCUUGGUGGAGUUUAGUGGUGAGGUAAGUGAUAAGAUUCCCAGCAAUACCAUAGUAAGCUAGCCUCUCGCAGCAUUCAUUACCUACACAUUAAAAACAUCAUCCUCAUAAGGUUAAGAUACAUAAGGAAUAGGAUUGAAAUGAAACGAAAUGUACCUAAAAUGAAAGGACAAGCUUUCCAGUUGCCUGUCUUCUCCUUGAGUGGUGGGUUUCCAUGAAGGUCCACUGAACCAUCUUGAGCAUACAGUUUUGGUUCCUGGUCAAACAAAAGUCAAGAUUACAUCUUUUAGCCAAAGACCAUUGCCAGUGAACAAUAAUAGCAUCAAAAUAGUUUUAACUACAACAUAAUCUGAUCUGCACUGGCAAAGUUUAUACAUUUGGAAUCAUAAUCACCCUCAAGGGUUAUAAAUAAAUACAUGGAAGGGAAUCAACAGCAAUUACCCAGAAAAAUCUCUCAACAAACAAACAUGCAUAAGAUCAUCAAACUCAAGCUCAAGUCAAGAUUUUUGGAGAAAUGAAAACCCUAAGAGAGAGAGAAAAAUCAAAAUCCAGAUUAACCUAAAUUCAAGCGAUUAGAAACAACAUCUAAGAGCGAAAUUGAUGAUCAAACCUGCGAGAUUAAACCUUCUUCGAUGAGAGGUGAUUCUUCUUCAAUGGAGCCCAUCCUUCUCGCUUCGAUUUAAGAUUCCAUCUUUACUCUUUAUUUAUUUGGAAGACGUGACGUGACGUGAUUGUUUUCUAUUUUAAUUUUCCCCGCGACUUUUUUUAAUUAGUUGUGAAAAUAUUAAAUAAAACGGAUAAUAUAAGAAACAAUUAGAAGCGAACUAAUAUAAUAAGCAAAGUACAACGACAAUCUGAUCUUUUGCGAUAACGAUUUCUCUGCUUCUUGACGACGUAAAGAUAAGACUUGUGGGUCGACUUGUCCAUUUUUUUCAACUUGUAUUACUCUAACCAAGAAACGAUAUAUGUUUAUUUGUUGCUCUGUUUUCAAGUUUUUUUUUAUUUUUUCCAACUUGUAUUUACCCUAACCAAGAAACGAUAUAUGUAUGUAUUUUAUUUGUUUCUCUGUUUUCAAGUUUUUUUUCGUUGCUAUGUCUCUCUCUCAGUCUCUCUUGAAUUAGGACCUGACUGGUUCAAACGCAGCGGUUGCGGUUGCGGUUGCGGGAGUUUGUGGAUGCGGACGGUUACGGUUUUUAGCGAUUUUAAGAGAUUUGUACGACUGGUACUGCGGUUAAAAAUUGGUGCGUUUGCGGGUGACUUAUGACUGGUUAACUACCAAAUGCGGUAACAAUCAAAUAAUAAAUUAACAAUAUUUACAUUUAAUAUAAUUAUAAAAAUAUCAAAAAUCAUAAAAUUAUAAUAAAUAUAAAAUUUAUAUUUAGAAAGUAAAGAAGACUCUUUCCUCAAAACUGAAUCCAAUAUUAGUCAAAUGUUCAAAUCUAAACACCAACCAAUCUCAUUCAAUUCGGAACCAAACCUAAACCGAAAAAUGGAACCACGAAUAUCUAAUUCAAUCAAAUCACCAAGAAGACCCGAUGAACCGGAGACUAAGACACACAUUAGUGCGUUCUGUGAUUCUUCAUAAGGAUUUAGCAAGUAACACGAAGUGACUGUAGCCUAUCUGUGACACAAUUUACAAGCUCACACAAUAACCAAGCUUAAGGCUUUCAAAGCCUACAAGUAAGAGAACAUAAAUCAAACAUAAUAUAUAUAGUCUAGCAAAUUUGAGCUGCGUCCUGUUAAUCAGCGAAUCUCUUCUUCCGGCUUAGUAAAAAAGCAGAAGAACAGAGCUAAGUGUUCAUUGCCUGCUGUAAUCACAAAGAUUCCUAAGGAUUUAUAACUAACAACCCCAAAGUAACUGUAGCCAUAAUAUCUAAGACACAAUUUACAAGCUCACACACUGAUAGUGUUAAUUACUUCCUACUUAAAGACUAAUGUAUUAAGCUUUUGAGUGUAACAGGAAACAAGACUAACACAACCUGCAGAGAGUCGAGUUAACGAUGGAACUAGGCUUAUCCAAACUUGAGAUAGCUUACAAGAACAAUCAAAUGCAAAGACGAACACAUUUCUCAAGCAUGAUUGAUCCAAAAAAGGCUUAUGCUUGUGGUGUAAAAGAAGACUCUUUCCUCAAAACUGAAUCCAAUAUUAGUCAAAUGUUCAAAUCUAAACACCAAACAAUCUCAUUCAAUUCGCAACCAAACCUAAACCGAAAAAUAGAACCGCGAAUAUCUAAUUCAAUCAAAUGGAACCGGAGACUAACCGGGAAGCUGGAAGAUCGAACCGAGGAGGGGCUACGCAUUAGCGGUCUUAGGGAUAAGAGGAACACCGUUCCCUUGUAGCUUACUCUGUUUAGCCUUGGCUUCUUCCUCGCGGAUCUUCUGCAUCGCGAGCAUCCUCUCCAUCACGAGCUCGUACUCGCACUUCUCGUACACGUGGCGCUCGUCCUCGCACUUCCACGGGAGGAAGAACUCAGCCUGGCGACAUUUGUUGAGCGGCAUCAGGAGAUGAGCGCACUGAUCUCUGUAUCCGAGCGGUACUUUGGCUGCCACCAUCUCUUCCUGCGUUGCGAUCAUCUUCUUCGAUGAACCUGGAACCUCCAUUUUCCUCUCGCGAUCCCUAACCUCUCUCCUUCUUUCUCUUUGGCGACUCCGAUUUGCUUGACCCGGACAUACUCAGGUUUUUUUUGUUCCGGGUCAUAGUUUAAAUGGGCUCAAUUGGUAUACUAAGCCCAAGUUUUAUUCAAUGGUCUUUUACAUUUUUUCGACAACAUUUUAAGUUAUAUACAAAAGAUGAACGAACCACUGAUGGUGGAUUCUGAGAACUGGUCUUUACUUAGCCAAAAAAAAAAAUCAUAAACUUUUAGUUUGAUUUAUUUUAGCAUUCAAUUGUUAAUUUUUUUUUAUUUUGAUCUUGUUUUUACUAAAUUGUUUUAGAUAUACAAAAAUCAACUGUUAAAUCGAUUUUAGCAGUUAAUUUUUCACUUAUCUAAAACGAUUUAGUUUUAAAAAAAAGAUUAAAUAAACGAUUUAAAAGGUUAAAAGUGACAAUGUCUCAAGUGAAAACUUCGCAUUUUUUCUUUUUUAAAUUUCAGUAUCUGGUGGUUUUCUCAAACAACAUACUUUUCGUUUUUUUUUCUUAAUAUAUAUUUCAUAUAACAUGCAUAACUUGUAAUCUUGUGUACAUAUACUAAUUUAACACUACAAAAUUUAGAGAGUUAUCGACUUGUUGGUUAAAAGAUUGUAAUUGAUUUAACACUGCAAAAGCAAAUGUGAGAAGACUGUUUGGAACUGAAAGAAACGAGUACACAAACAGUUGUUCUUUUAAACAAACACAAUUUACACAAGAAAAGAAACAAACUUUGUAUGUAAUGGAAGGAGAGAGAGAGAAAGAGAACAACCACAUUAUAACUUGGACGCCUUCUUCUGCUUAUACCUAGCGGCAGAGAAGAAGUAAACCGCCAUGUUCACAAGGCUAAGCCCAGCCAAAAGCCAGAAGUAGUAAUCAAGAUGACCCGAGUUCAGAUUAUCCGAUAUCCAACCUUGUUCACCGUUCCUCGUCGUGAAAUAAGUCACCAGCGUGAGGAUCAACGAACUCAAGUAGUUCCCAAGAGCAUUAGUCAAAAGAGCCAAAGCACUGCACAAGCUCCUCAUUGCAUCUGGAGACUGAUCAUAGAAAAACUCAAGCUGUCCUAUGAAGUAGAACACUUCCGCCGCACCGAGGAUGAAGUACUGUGGGAUCUGCCAUAACACCGAUAUGGGGACAGGAGCUCCAGACUCAACCAACCCGAGCUCGUUGGCUAAAUGGAGCCUGAUGAUCUCGACAAUCGCUGCAGCUGCCAUACAGAGAACAGAGACGAACAGACCAACCCCCAUUCUCUGUAUCUCAGUGAAUCCUUUGUCUACUCCAGUGAACCGUCUAGCUAAAGGGACGAUGAACCUGUCGUAGAGAGGAACCCAGAUGAUGACGCUAGCUGUGUCAAACGUCCCGAGCGCUGCAGGAGGAAGCUGGAAAGAUCCUAUUUUGCAGUCCAUGGCUCGGCCUUGUUGAACAAACAUUGUUGACAUUUGUGCGUAUACAGCUGAGAAAAUGAUACCUGAAGCCCAUAUUGGGAACAUUCGUAUCAGAAUCUUGAGUUCUUCGACUUGAGUAACUGUGCAUAGUCUCCACGAGUUGGAGAAGUCUCCGGUUUUGGAUUCUUCUUCUGAGAUAACAGCAGCUUUGUCAAGAUACCUGCAUCAAUAGAGACCCCAUGUUAAACAAAGCAAAGCUAUAUAUAUACUCGUUAGGAUAAUAGAUGUUUUAGAAAAAAAUUUGAUUCACAAAAAUAGAUUUUUUGUGUUUUCUAUGAAAAUGUUGUAAAUUUUUUAAAAAAUUAAUUAAUUUAUUGGUUAAAACUUAUUGAAAAUUGAUAAUAACAAAAAAAAAAUUAUAUAUUUAUUAUAGUGAUUUAAUGUGUUUUCUUAGUAACCCCAAGACCCUUGUCUUAGCUAUCCCUGGAACAAGGGACCUCUAACACAAUGGCAUGGCUCCUUUCAGUUGAGCUAGUAAAGCAAAGCUAUUCAUUCCCAGGAAGAAGAUGAAACUUACUGGCAAUCAUCGGUAUGUUCGAUUUUUCGACUUCCAGCAAUAGCAGAGUUCUUGUCCUGCGUUUCAUACAGAAGCAUUGCGUCUUCAGGGACUGUGAGAGUCGAUUUACGGAACGAGGCCACCACCACUUGGGAGAUCCGAGUGAUAGGGCUGCCUCCAGGCUUCUGAAACCUGUAAAGAGGCGUGCCAAAGAAGAAACUUGCAAUGGCGAGUCCCAUGAAGACGGUUGGUAUACCAAAACCUAAACCCCAGCCGCGGUUCUCUUGGAUCCAGACAAGAAGACUAGAAGAGACUAGCGCUCCAAUGUUGAUGGAGAAGUAGAACCAGUUGAAGAAGGAAGCUUUCUUAACUCGUUCGCGAGAGUCCGUGUCAUCGAACUGGUCUGCACCGAAGGAUGAGACGCAUGGUUUGAUGCCUCCAGUGCCGAGGGCGAUCAGGUAAAGCCCACCAAAGAACAUUGCGUACUGUGCUGGUGUUGCUGAUGGACAGAAAGUGCCAAUGCAUUCCGCUGGCUUUAGUGCCGGAACUGACGCUGAGAGAGUUAGCGCAGACAUGCC
This 5628-nucleotide long non-coding RNA is filed under the name Brassica napus (rape). RNAcentral's name for it is "long non-coding RNA (BNAP_LNC005606)". The record is from RNAcentral. Lineage: Eukaryota; Viridiplantae; Streptophyta; Magnoliopsida; Brassicales; Brassicaceae.